GGGAUUCAACCCACAACCUUGAUGUAUCAGGACGUUGCUCUAACCAACUGAACUACCCGGCCAGGGCACUAUUCGGACUCUUUGCCGUAGAUUUAUCUCACUUGUUCUAGAACUUUAUACAAAUGUCAUCACACAGAACAUUCUCUUGUAUCUGGUUUAUUUUGUUCAACAUUGUAUUCAUAAAUUCCUGAGGUGUUUGAAAACUCUCCAUCCAGAAAGACACAUUCAACAUUCAGUCUUUCAUUAAUUUCUUUCAUUAUAGAGCCACUCAUUCAACAAAUAUUUCUUGAGCCCCUAUUGUAUGAGGAGAGCUGGCCUAACAGUCACCCGUGGCAAAGACUGAUGAACUGUGAGUCCCCCAGGAUGUUAUCUGACCCCAAAAUAUUUGGCAACAACUCUCUUCUGAACUCCCCUUGCAUCACAUAGAAUCCCUGGUACACAGAGGCCACACAGCCCGGUGGUAAGGAGCUCAGGCUCUGGCAUCCAUGGAUGGGCACUUAGUAGAUGCUUAAUAAACAGUGACUGUGACUAUUUUGUUGGCAUGGGAGCAUUGUAAAGAGCAAAGCCCUCUUUUUUAAUCCUUCACUGGCCCUAUAAGGUAGGCACCACUACAAUCUAUGUUUUACUAAUGAGGGAAGGAUGCUCAGAGAGGUAAGGUAACUCUCCAGAGGUUGCACAGCUGAUGAGUGGCUGAGGCGGGAUUCAAACCUAGUCCUAUUGAGUUUGAGCUUUCAUCUCUGCUCUGCGGAAUCAGCUCACUCCUCCUCGCCUUUCUUUAAGCCUUGACCCACUCAAGGGAGAGCCCAGAAUCGCCAUGGACCAAGGCUGUGCAUUUUGCUCUGCCAUUUCUUAGUUGUCUUUCUUCCACUUUGGGGCCCAACCCAAGAUGUUUUCCUGGCUUUGGAUCUUGUCUGUUUCAGCUUAAAAUCAUGUUGGAGGGGGUGGGAAAGGCAUGACUCGCCAGCAGCUCCUCCCCAUCCCCAUCCAAUGCCUUGGGCCUGGGUUCUAGAUAGUGUCACUACAAUUUGUCCCCCUUCAUCCUGCUCCUUGGGGACUGUCCACCUCGGGGCCCUCCUGGGACCUACACUCCAAACUUCUUUCAAGUGGCCCCAAACAGCAGCUUUUUCCUAAAUGAUGGGAAUGAGAUUACACAUGUGGGUCAGUUGUUACCAACGCCCUGACUCACCCAGCUCAUUCCUGUGAAUGAAUGAGCCUUUUAUUUUAACUGCUGGCUUUUAAAGGACCCAUACAUCUGUUUUUCUGACCACGUAAAAUCUAUUAGAGAGGGGGAAAAUGUGGUUCAAAGAAAUAGUUAAGUUUUCUCCAUGGGAGAGAAUUUUCCAGGGAAGAAAAUAUGUUGACCUUAUGAUACAGUUGAGUGGCUUUCAAAAAAUAUUUUUUUCAGCACAUGAACCCUUUUACAGAGGCUACUUAAGCUGAAGCUCAGCGUACAAACGUUCUAAGAUUCGGUGUGACUGAGGACCAUUCAAUCUGAAGUGGCAAACUGUUGGAAAUAUAGACUUUUUGAAAAAAGAAAAA
Molecule: non-coding RNA, 1539 nt
Organism: Miniopterus natalensis
Lineage: Eukaryota; Metazoa; Chordata; Mammalia; Chiroptera; Miniopteridae
Source: RefSeq, a predicted model, not a curated record